This 72-nucleotide transfer RNA is filed under the name Rhinella arenarum (Argentine toad). RNAcentral's name for it is "tRNA-Ile". Lineage: Eukaryota; Metazoa; Chordata; Amphibia; Anura; Bufonidae. The record is from RNAcentral.
GGAAGCGUGCCUGAAAGCUAAGGGCCUCCUUGAUAGGGAGGACCAUAGGAGUUCAAACCUCCUCACUUCCUU